Molecule: ribosomal RNA, 696 nt
Filed under: uncultured bacterium
Lineage: Bacteria
Description: bacterial SSU rRNA
Rfam family: Bacterial small subunit ribosomal RNA
Source: RNAcentral
AACGCUAGCUACAGGCUUAACACAUGCAAGUCGAGGGGAAACGAUAGAGAAAGCUUGCUUUUUCUAGGCGUCGACCGGCGCACGGGUGAGUAACGCGUAUCCAACCUGCCCACCACUUGGGGAUAACCUUGCGAAAGUAAGACUAAUACCCAAUGAUAUCUCUAGAAGACAUCUGAAAGAGAUUAAAGAUUUAUCGGUGAUGGAUGGGGAUGCGUCUGAUUAGCUUGUUGGCGGGGUAACGGCCCACCAAGGCGACGAUCAGUAGGGGUUCUGAGAGGAAGGUCCCCCACAUUGGAACUGAGACACGGUCCAAACUCCUACGGGAGGCAGCAGUGAGGAAUAUUGGUCAAUGGGCGAGAGCCUGAACCAGCCAAGUAGCGUGCAGGAUGACGGCCCUAUGGGUUGUAAACUGCUUUUAUAAGGGAAUAAAGUGAGCCUCGUGAGGCUUUUUGCAUGUACCUUAUGAAUAAGGACCGGCUAAUUCCGUGCCAGCAGCCGCGGUAAUACGGAAGGUCCGGGCGUUAUCCGGAUUUAUUGGGUUUAAAGGGAGCGUAGGCCGGAGAUUAAGCGUGUUGUGAAAUGUAGAUGCUCAACAUCUGCACUGCAGCGCGAACUGGUUUCCUUGAGUACGCACAAAGUGGGCGGAAUUCGUGGUGUAGCGGUGAAAUGCUUAGAUAUCACGAAGAACUCCGAUUG